Long non-coding RNA from Rhopalosiphum padi (bird cherry-oat aphid), 845 nucleotides. RefSeq lists it as uncharacterized. The record is from RefSeq and is a predicted model, not a curated record. NCBI's taxonomy places the organism in Eukaryota, Metazoa, Arthropoda, Insecta, Hemiptera, Aphididae. The transcript has 6 exons.
UGCGCUACAAUGCUAAUGCUACACAUGACGACAGCGUACGAUGAGAUGUCCAGUUAUAGCGUCUAAGAAGUCCAAACCUUUUAGCUGAGUUCACGGACCAAAGGCCACCAGUAAUAAUUUUUACAGAAUCAGUAAUUUGUAAACUGUCAUGAUUUCUGGACCUCUGGAGUGUAGCGGUCAAAAGCUAUAUGUUAUACAAUUAUGAUUCAAAUUGCUCGUCGGCGGAACUUACGUAAAAAUACACAUAAUGCACGUAUAACCAUGGAUCACGAAAAUUACGUUCUAAUAGGUGGAUCUAUUGUUUUGGUGACUGUUUUGUGAAAUGACGGAGAAGACAUGUAUACAGAACAGAACUUACAAACCCGCUGUUCGGUUUAAAGCUCAUGUAGUCUGUUGACCCGUUAGUUACAUUAUGCAAAGAGUAUAAACGCGGUAAUACGAAAAUAAUAAUCCUUACAGGUUGCAUAUAAAUGAAUAUCGGCACCAAAAGUAUAGGACUUGAUGAUUAUCGUGAAUACAGCAUAAUACAUUUGUGUUUACCUACGUUAUUGUAGCUGUGAAGAAGGCAAACAGGAGGCGACCAACAUUCAAAAUUCAAAUAUAAGUAAUUGAGUGUUCACAGAUUAGUGUAUGGAAAAAAACAACAACAUGGAGAACUAAAUGCGGCGCCCAAUGCAAGUCGGGAACGUACUAUAAUAAUACGAGGACGUACGUCGUACAUCUGUCGAAACAGCCUAUAACUAAUUUCUUAUAUACCAUCGAAAAACAAAAUUUAAACAGGUGAAUUCUCGUUUACAUAUUUUAUAUUAGCAAUUAGCGUUGAUUUGUGACAAUUUGAAAUAUCA